This 253-nucleotide ribosomal RNA is filed under the name uncultured bacterium. RNAcentral's name for it is "partial 16S ribosomal RNA". It matches the Rfam family "Bacterial small subunit ribosomal RNA", at positions 524 to 776 of the family's 1533-position model. The record is from RNAcentral.
UACAGAGGGUGCGAGCGUUAAUCGGAAUUACUGGGCGUAAAGCGUGUGUAGGCGGCCACGUAAGUCGGAUGUGAAAGCCCCAGGCUCAACCUGGGAGGUGCACUCGAUACUGCGUGGCUUGAGUAUCGGAGAGGUUGGUGGAAUUCUCGGUGUAGAGGUGAAAUUCGUAGAUAUCGAGAGGAACACCGGUGGCGAAGGCGGCCAACUGGACGAAUACUGACGCUGAGACACGAAAGCGUGGGGAGCAAACAGG